UGGGGAAUUUUCCGCAAUGGGCGAAAGCCUGACGGAGCAACGCCGCGUGGGGGAAGAAGGUUUUUGGAUUGUAAACCCCUUUUCUCAGGGAAGAAGAUCUGACGGUACCUGAGGAAUAAGCCUCGGCUAACUCCGUGCCAGCAGCCGCGGUAAUACGGAGGAGGCAAGCGUUAUCCGGAAUUAUUGGGCGUAAAGCGUUCGUAGGUAGCCAUUCAAGUCUGCUGUCAAAGACCCGGGCUUAACUCGGGAAAGGCAGUGGAAACUGAAUAGCUAGAGUGCGGUAGGGGUAGAGGGAAUUCCCGGUGUAGCGGUGAAAUGCGUAGAUAUCGGGAAGAACACCGGCGGCGAAAGCGCUCUACUGGGCCGCAACUGACACUGAGGGACGAAAGCUAGGGGAGCGAAUGGGAUUAGAUACCCCCGUAGUCC
This 426-nucleotide ribosomal RNA is filed under the name uncultured prokaryote. RNAcentral's name for it is "bacterial SSU rRNA". It matches the Rfam family "Bacterial small subunit ribosomal RNA", at positions 355 to 796 of the family's 1533-position model. The record is from RNAcentral.